This 411-nucleotide ribosomal RNA is filed under the name Enterobacter hormaechei. Its description in RNAcentral is "partial 23S ribosomal RNA". It matches the Rfam family "Bacterial large subunit ribosomal RNA", at positions 1 to 452 of the family's 2925-position model. The record is from RNAcentral. RNAcentral also lists the same sequence under 1 other name. Lineage: Bacteria; Pseudomonadati; Pseudomonadota; Gammaproteobacteria; Enterobacterales; Enterobacteriaceae.
GGUUAAGCGACUAAGCGUACACGGUGGAUGCCCUGGCAGUCAGAGGCGAUGAAGGACGUGCUAAUCUGCGAAAAGCGCCGGCGAGGUGAUAUGAACCUUUGACCCGGCGAUGUCCGAAUGGGGAAACCCAGUGUGUUUCGACACACUAUCGUUAACUGAAUACAUAGGUUAACGAGGCGAACCGGGGGAACUGAAACAUCUAAGUACCCCGAGGAAAAGAAAUCAACCGAGAUUCCCCCAGUAGCGGCGAGCGAACGGGGAGCAGCCCGGAGUCUGAAUCAGUUUGUGUGUUAGUGGAACGGUCUGGAAAGUCCGACGGUACAGGGUGAUAGUCCCGUACACGAAAAUGCACAUGCUGUGAACUCGAAGAGUAGGGCGGGACACGUGGUAUCCUGUCUGAAUAUGGGGGGA